UGGUGCAUGGUUGUCGUCAGCUCGUGCCGUGAGGUGUUGGGUUAAGUCCGCACGAGCGCAACCCCUAUUGAUAGUUUGCUAAUAUUAAGUUAAGGACUCUAUUGAGACUGCCAGCGACAAGCUGGAGGAAGGUGGGGAUGACGUCAAAUCAUCAUGCCCUUUAUGACCUGGGCUACAAACGUACUACAAUGGCCAGAUACAAAGAGAUGCGAAGCCGCGAGGUGGAGCGAACCUCAUAAAAAAUGGUCUCAGUUCGGAUUGGAGUCUGCAACUCGACUCCAUGAAGUCGGAAUCGCUAGUAAUCGCGGGUCAGCAGACCGCGGUGAAUACGUUCCCGGGUUUU
Molecule: ribosomal RNA, 343 nt
Filed under: uncultured Bacillota bacterium
Lineage: Bacteria; Bacillati; Bacillota
Description: bacterial SSU rRNA
Rfam family: Bacterial small subunit ribosomal RNA
Source: RNAcentral